UCAGGAUGAACGCUGGCGGCCGGCCUAAUACAUGCAAGUCGAACGAACUUCCGUUAAUUGAUUAUGAGGUGCUUGCACUGAAUGAGAUUUUAACACGAAGUGAGUGGCGGACGGGUGAGUAACACGUGGGUAACCUGCCCAGAAGCAGGGGAUAACACCUGGAAACAGAUGCUAAUACCGUAUAACAGAGAAAACCGCCUGGUUUUCUUUUAAAAGAUGGCUCUGCUAUCACUUCUGGAUGGACCCGCGGCGCAUUAGCUAGUUGGUGAGGUAACGGCUCACCAAGGCGAUGAUGCGUAGCCGACCUGAGAGGGUAAUCGGCCACAUUGGGACUGAGACACGGCCCAGACUCCUACGGGAGGCAGCAGUAGGGAAUCUUCCACAAUGGACGCAAGUCUGAUGGAGCAACGCCGCGUGAGUGAAGAAGGGUUUCGGCUCGUAAAGCUCUGUUGUUAAAGAAGAACGUGGGUGAGAGUAACUGUUCACCCAGUGACGGUAUUUAACCAGAAAGCCACGGCUAACUACGUGCCAGCAGCCGCGGUAAUACGUAGGUGGCAAGCGUUAUCCGGAUUUAUUGGGCGUAAAGCGAGCGCAGGCGGUCUUUUAAGUCUAAUGUGAAAGCCUUCGGCUCAACCGAAGAAGUGCAUUGGAAACUGGGAGACUUGAGUGCAGAAGAGGACAGUGGAACUCCAUGUGUAGCGGUGAAAUGCGUAGAUAUAUGGAAGAACACCAGUGGCGAAGGCGGCUGUCUGGUCUGUAACUGACGCUGAGGCUCGAAAGCAUGGGUAGCGAACAGGAUUAGAUACCCUGGUAGUCCAUGCCGUAAACGAUGAUUACUAAGUGUUGGAGGGUUUCCGCCCUUCAGUGCUGCAGCUAACGCAUUAAGUAAUCCGCCUGGGGAGUACGACCGCAAGGUUGAAACUCAAAAGAAUUGACGGGGGCCCGCACAAGCGGUGGAGCAUGUGGUUUAAUUCGAAGCUACGCGAAGAACCUUACCAGGUCUUGACAUCUUCUGCCAACCUAAGAGAUUAGGCGUUCCCUUCGGGGACAGAAUGACAGGUGGUGCAUGGUUGUCGUCAGCUCGUGUCGUGAGAUGUUGGGUUAAGUCCCGCAACGAGCGCAACCCUUAUUACUAGUUGCCAGCAUUCAGUUGGGCACUCUAGUGAGACUGCCGGUGACAAACCGGAGGAAGGUGGGGACGACGUCAAAUCAUCAUGCCCCUUAUGACCUGGGCUACACACGUGCUACAAUGGAUGGUACAACGAGUCGCGAAACCGCGAGGUUUAGCUAAUCUCUUAAAACCAUUCUCAGUUCGGACUGUAGGCUGCAACUCGCCUACACGAAGUCGGAAUCGCUAGUAAUCGCGGAUCAGCAUG
Molecule: ribosomal RNA, 1376 nt
Filed under: Pediococcus acidilactici
Lineage: Bacteria; Bacillati; Bacillota; Bacilli; Lactobacillales; Lactobacillaceae
Description: bacterial SSU rRNA
Rfam family: Bacterial small subunit ribosomal RNA
Source: RNAcentral